UUUGCUUCUUGGCCUUUUGGCUAAGAUCAAGUGUAGUAUCUGUUUUUAUCAGUUUAAUUAUAAUCACUGCCCAUGUUUUAGACUAUGCAUUUUGACAAGCGUUGUAAAUAAUUCCUAGGCAGUUUCCAGAAUGGUUCCAAGUAGUUCUUUAUGACUUGACCCCAGUGUCU
This 170-nucleotide small nuclear RNA is filed under the name Rhinolophus ferrumequinum (greater horseshoe bat). RNAcentral's name for it is "U2 spliceosomal RNA (ENSRFEG00010017893.1)". It matches the Rfam family "U2 spliceosomal RNA". Rfam says of the family: U2 is a small nuclear RNA (snRNA) component of the spliceosome (involved in pre-mRNA splicing). Complementary binding between U2 snRNA (in an area lying towards the 5' end but 3' to hairpin I) and the branchpoint sequence (BPS) of the intron results the bulging out of an unpaired adenosine, on the BPS, which initiates a nucleophilic attack at the intronic 5' splice site, thus starting the first of two transesterification reactions that mediate splicing. The record is from Rfam by way of RNAcentral. Lineage: Eukaryota; Metazoa; Chordata; Mammalia; Chiroptera; Rhinolophidae.